This 460-nucleotide ribosomal RNA is filed under the name uncultured bacterium. RNAcentral describes it as "partial 16S ribosomal RNA". It matches the Rfam family "Bacterial small subunit ribosomal RNA", at positions 338 to 795 of the family's 1533-position model. The record is from RNAcentral.
CCUACGGGUGGCAGCAGUGAGGAAUAUUGGUCAAUGGGCGCUAGCCUGAACCAGCCAAGUAGCGUGAAGGAUGACUGCCCUAUGGGUUGUAAACUUCUUUUAUAUGGGAAUAAAGUGCAGUAUGUAUACUGCUUUGCAUGUACCUUAUGAAUAAGGAUCGGCUAACUCCGUGCCAGCAGCCGCGGUAAUACGGAGGAUCCGAGCGUUAUCCGGAUUUAUUGGGUUUAAAGGGAGCGUAGGCGGGUUGUUAAGUCAGUUGUGAAAGUUUGCGGCUCAACCGUAAAAUUGCAGUUGAUACUGGCAUCCUUGAGUACAGUAGAGGUAGGCGGAAUUCGUGGUGUAGCGGUGAAAUGCUUAGAUAUCACACAGAACACCGAUUGCGAAGGCAUCUCACGAAUCCGCGAUUGACGCUGAUGCACGAAAGCGUGGGUAUCAAACAGGAUUAGAUACCCUUGUAGUC